GCCUGGGUGGCUCAGUCAGUUGAGCAUAUGACUUCGGCUCAGGUCAUGAUCUCACGGUCUGUGGGUUCGAGCCCCGCGUCGGGCU
RNAcentral lists this transfer RNA (85 nucleotides) under Felis catus (domestic cat). It matches the Rfam family "tRNA". From Rfam's summary of the family: Transfer RNA (tRNA) molecules are approximately 80 nucleotides in length. Their secondary structure includes four short double-helical elements and three loops (D, anti-codon, and T loops). Lineage: Eukaryota; Metazoa; Chordata; Mammalia; Carnivora; Felidae. The record is from Rfam by way of RNAcentral.